Molecule: ribosomal RNA, 203 nt
Filed under: uncultured bacterium
Lineage: Bacteria
Description: partial 16S ribosomal RNA
Rfam family: Bacterial small subunit ribosomal RNA
Source: RNAcentral
GUAGGCUGAAACUCGCCUACAUGAAGCUGGAGUUGCUAGUAAUCGCGAAUCAGCAUGUCGCGGUGAAUACGUUCCCGGGCCUUGUACACACCGCCCGUCACACCAUGAGAGUUGGCAGUACCCAACGUACGUGAUCUAACCCGCAAGGGAGGAAGCGUCCUAAGGUAGGGUCAGCGAUUGGGGUGAAGUCGUAACAAGGUAUC